This 387-nucleotide ribosomal RNA is filed under the name uncultured soil bacterium. Its description in RNAcentral is "bacterial SSU rRNA". It matches the Rfam family "Bacterial small subunit ribosomal RNA", at positions 26 to 413 of the family's 1533-position model. The record is from RNAcentral.
AGAUUGAACGCUGGCGGCAGGCCUAACACAUGCAAGUCGAGCGGCAGCACGGGUACUUGUACCUGGUGGCGAGCGGCGGACGGGUGAGUAAUGCCUAGGAAUCUGCCUGAUAGUGGGGGAUAACGCUCGGAAACGGACGCUAAUACCGCAUACGUCCUACGGGAGAAAGCAGGGGACCUUCGGGCCUUGCGCUAUCAGAUGAGCCUAGGUCGAUUAGCUAGUUGGUGGGUAAUGGCUCACCAAGGCGACGAUCCGUAACUGGUCUGAGAGGAUGAUCAGUCACACUGGAACUGAGACACGGUCCAGACUCCGUAGGGAGCAGCAGGUGGGAAUAGUGGACAAGUGGGACAAAGCCUGAUCCAGUCCAGUCGCCGCGUGUAGUAGAAG